AUUAUAUUUUGAUUUUAACUUAAAGUUUCCUCUUUUUCACAGAUAACUAAUACUUUCUCUUUCUGUUCUUAUCUUUUCAGAUUGGUGACUGCCUACGUUUGGAUUGAACGAAAGGUAAGAUUGAGACCUGAUAUUUUCUUUUUCUGUAGGGGUACCCUCAACUAGGUCCACACUUUGGUCAGAUUGUUGGAUACGAUAUUAUUUCAAAUGCAUUUAGAUGUGUUUGAUCGUGUCUCCCCGCUUCCAGACUCUAACGUCGUAAAUCGAUGACUGACAGCUCUGCGACCUUGUGUACAACACUCUUCUGCCUUGUGCCAUAGUUGCGUAUGGGAAUAUAAAGGAAGAGUGCACAAAUGGUCAAGGACAGUCACAACGUGACUGCUCAGGAAUCGUAGACAUAUUGUUAGAGUCGGUAAAUCUGGGAUGCUUCCGUUCGUAAUCCAACGAAUUCUUUCUGACCGCUGUUGGUGUCUAGGCGAGUGGCCUCCUAUGGUUGCAAGAAAAAAUUUUCCAUGGUCUCAAUAAUCAAAAGACAUCUAGAGAAGUUACUCAAAUUGGAUAUUGCAUUCACAAAAAGACAUUUAUUACCUACAUGCGACUUAAUUUGCCUCUCCUGUGAAACCAGGAAAUUAUAUUUGAUGGUAAGUUCGAUUAAUCCUGUUCUCCUUUUUCUUUCUCCAGCAGUUGUACCAUCGACUAGACCUUCAGCUUUUGUCAGAAUGUCGGAUACGAUGUUGUGCAAAUGCACUGACGUGUAUUUGUUCUUUUUGUCUUUUGGCUUCCAGACUCUAGUGUCGUAAGUCGGGUGAAGGACGGAUCUGCGACCUCGUGUACAACAGUUCCCUGGCCCGUGCCAAAGAGCGAACGGCUACUGCUUCACCGCGAAAGGGGAAUUGCACUAAUGGUCAAAGACAGUCACCAGUUGACUGCUCCGGAUGCGCAGACAUCAACUAGAGUCGGUAAACCCAGAGUGCUUUAAUUCGUACUCUGACUUCACAAUUCUGACAUCUGCUGUUAGAGCCUAGAAGAUUGGACUCCUGUUCGGAUGGAAAAAAAAACAGGGUUCCGAACUUCAUCAAAUGUUCUAGCCGAUACUUGUGGUGGGACUACGGUCGGCGCUUUAGAAAUGAACGUAAGUUGUAGUUUUAAUUCUAUUUCGUAGUUUUCGUAAUUUUGCUCUGGAAAAUGAGAAAAAUUAUGAGAACCCUAUUUAUUUAUAAACUUAAAUUU
Long non-coding RNA from Musca vetustissima, 1230 nucleotides. RefSeq lists it as uncharacterized. The record is from RefSeq and is a predicted model, not a curated record. The transcript is spliced from 2 exons. Lineage: Eukaryota; Metazoa; Arthropoda; Insecta; Diptera; Muscidae.